This 279-nucleotide ribosomal RNA is filed under the name uncultured bacterium. RNAcentral's name for it is "partial 16S ribosomal RNA". It matches the Rfam family "Bacterial small subunit ribosomal RNA", at positions 506 to 784 of the family's 1533-position model. The record is from RNAcentral.
UGCCAGCCGCCGCGGUAAUACAGAGGUGGCAAGCGUUGUUCGGUAUCACUGGGCUUAAAGGGCGCGUAGGCGGUGCGGUACGGUUCGGGUGAAAUCCCUCGGCUCAACCGAGGAACUGCCCGGGCAACGGCCGCGCUUGGCGGCAUCAGGGGAAGGUGGAACUCCCGGUGGAGCGGUGAAAUGUGUAGAUAUCGGGAGGAACGCCGGUGGCGAAAGCGACCUUCUGGGGUGUACGCGACGCUGAGGCGCGAAAGCUAGGGGAGCGAACGGGAUUAGAUA